UUAAUUGAAGAGUUUGAUCAUGGCUCAGAUUGAACGCUGGCGGCAGGCCUAACACAUGCAAGUCGAGCGGUAACAGGAGAAGCUUGCUUCUCGCUGACGAGCGGCGGACGGGUGAGUAAUGUAUGGGGAUCUGCCCGAUAGAGGGGGAUAACCACUGGAAACGGUGGCUAAUACCGCAUAAUCUCUUAGGAGCAAAGCAGGGGAA
RNAcentral lists this ribosomal RNA (205 nucleotides) under Providencia rettgeri. RNAcentral describes it as "partial 16S ribosomal RNA". It matches the Rfam family "Bacterial small subunit ribosomal RNA", at positions 1 to 210 of the family's 1533-position model. The record is from RNAcentral. Lineage: Bacteria; Pseudomonadati; Pseudomonadota; Gammaproteobacteria; Enterobacterales; Morganellaceae.